GUCAGGAUGGCCGAGCUGUCCAAGACGCUGCGUUCAGGUCGCAGUUCACUCUGUGGGCGUGGGUUCGAAUCCCACUCCUGACA
Non-coding RNA from Schistosoma rodhaini, 83 nucleotides. NCBI's taxonomy places the organism in Eukaryota, Metazoa, Platyhelminthes, Trematoda, Strigeidida, Schistosomatidae. The record is from Rfam.